RNAcentral lists this ribosomal RNA (254 nucleotides) under uncultured bacterium. RNAcentral's name for it is "partial 16S ribosomal RNA". It matches the Rfam family "Bacterial small subunit ribosomal RNA", at positions 524 to 776 of the family's 1533-position model. The record is from RNAcentral.
CACGUAGGGUGCGAGCGUUGUCCGGAAUUAUUGGGCGUAAAGAGCUCGUAGGCGGUGUGUCGCGUCGGCCGUGAAAACCUGCAGCUUAACUGUGGGCUUGCGGUCGAUACGGGCAUCACUGGAGUUCGGCAGGGGAGACUGGAAUUCCUGGUGUAGCGGUGAAAUGCGCAGAUAUCAGGAGGAACACCGGUGGCGAAGGCGGGUCUCUGGGCCGUAACUGACGCUGAGGAGCGAAAGCGUGGGGAGCGAACAGG